AUUGAACGCUGGCGGCAGGCCUAACACAUGCAAGUCGAACGAGUGGCGGACGGGUGAGUAAUGUCUGGGAAACUGCCCGAUGGAGGGGGAUAACUACUGGAAACGGUAGCUAAUACCGCAUACCAUUGGAUGUGCCCAGAUGGGAUUAGCUAGUAGGUGGGGUAAUGGCUCACCUAGGCGACGAUCCCUAGCUGGUCUGAGAGGAUGACCAGACACACUGGAACGGAGACACGGUGCAGACUCCUACGGGAGGCAGCAGUGGGGAAGAUGGAACAAUGGGCGCGAGCCUGAUGCAGCCAUGCCGCGUGUAUGAAGAAGGACUUCGGGUUGUAAAGUACUUUCAGCGGGGAGGCGUUACCCGCAGAAGAAGCACCGGCUAACUCCGUGCCAGCAGCCGCGGUAAUUC
This 406-nucleotide ribosomal RNA is filed under the name uncultured bacterium. RNAcentral describes it as "partial 16S ribosomal RNA". It matches the Rfam family "Bacterial small subunit ribosomal RNA", at positions 30 to 526 of the family's 1533-position model. The record is from RNAcentral.